GGGGUUGUGGCUCAGUGAUAGAGUGUUGCCUAGCAUGCACAAGGCACUGGGUUCGAUCCUCAGCACCACA
Molecule: transfer RNA, 70 nt
Filed under: Marmota monax (woodchuck)
Lineage: Eukaryota; Metazoa; Chordata; Mammalia; Rodentia; Sciuridae
Description: tRNA.Ala
Source: RNAcentral